CUGGCUCAGGAUGAACGCUAGCGGCAGGCUAACACAUGCAAGUCGAGGGGCAGCGCGGGAGUAGCAAUACUCUGGCGGCGACCGGCGCAAGGGUGCGUAACGCGUGAGCAACAUACCCGCAACAGGGGGAUAAGCGAUGGAAACGUCGUCUAAUACCCCAUGGAGACCAAGGGCGGCAUCGUCCAUGGCCUAAACCCACGGGGGUUGCGGAUUGGCUCGCGAGACAUUAGCUAGUCGGCGGGGUAACGGCCCACCGAGGCGACGAUGUCUAGGGGUUCUGAGAGGAAGGUCCCCCACACUGGAACUGAGACACGGUCCAGACUCCUACGGGAGGCAGCAGUGAGGAAUAUUGGACAAUGGCCGGAAGGCUGAUCCAGCCAUGCCGCGUGAAGGAAGAAGGUCCUAUGGAUUGUAAACUUCUUUUGUUCGGGAGCAAUAAGGGCGUCGAGACGUCCGAUGAGAGUACCGUACGAAUAAGCAUCGGCUAACUCCGUGCCAGCAGCGGC
Molecule: ribosomal RNA, 506 nt
Filed under: uncultured bacterium
Lineage: Bacteria
Description: bacterial SSU rRNA
Rfam family: Bacterial small subunit ribosomal RNA
Source: RNAcentral